Nilaparvata lugens (brown planthopper) is the source of this 568-nucleotide long non-coding RNA. RefSeq lists it as uncharacterized. Lineage: Eukaryota; Metazoa; Arthropoda; Insecta; Hemiptera; Delphacidae. The record is from RefSeq and is a predicted model, not a curated record. The transcript is spliced from 4 exons.
AUUCCCGGGGUGAUACAUGCUUGUGUGCUACUGAGCUUGAGCGACAGCCAUUAAAGAUCUCCUGUCUCCUUCAGUUUUCAGUAGUUGAAGGGUUGAAGGUGAAGUUGGUUUGUUGUUUGUUUAUCCUUUAUUUUAUCGCGUCAUCAAGUUGAUGAUGAUUUUUGAUUGCUGAAGGUCUUAAAUUAAGAUGAAGGUGGGAAUAGAACUGCAGAUACAUAUUAUACUAAAAUCCACCAUGACAGAUGAAUAUGAUGCCAAGGAUUAGAUUUGAAAAAAGUUCUUCUCCUCUCUACAUUUGAUGAAAGCCAUUUUCAGCAAAGGUGGGAAUAGAACUGCAGACGCAUAUACAAAAAUCCACCAUGACAGACGAAUAUGCUACCAACUACAGUUUUAGAUUUAAAACUCCUUUCUACAUCUGAUGGAAACCAUUUCCAGACCAAGAGCAGAGAGACUACGCCUCAUGAAGCUCAAAUCGAGGACGAUAGCAGUUCAAAGUAAAAAUAUAUAAUUAGUUAUAAAUUGCAAGUUCAAUUUUUGUAAUAUUUAAUAAAAAUCAUUGCAUUUUAUU